UAUGCAGUACUGGGCCAGAAGGCUGGAGCAGGAGGUUGAUGGAGUGAUGAGGAUAUUUGGUGGAGUCCAGCAGCUCAGAGGGAUCUACAAUGAGAAUAGAAACCUGUUUGAAGUCAAGGAGAAUGUGCCCAGGAAAUUAGUGGAGAAGGUUGCGGGGGACAUUGAGAGCCUCUUGGCCAAGAAAGUCCGUGCUUUAAAGAGACUUGCUAACGCGGCAGAGAAGUUCCAGAAGGCUCACCACUGGCAGGACAACAUCAGGG
Molecule: non-coding RNA, 260 nt
Organism: Struthio camelus australis
Lineage: Eukaryota; Metazoa; Chordata; Aves; Struthioniformes; Struthionidae
Source: RefSeq, a predicted model, not a curated record